RNAcentral lists this ribosomal RNA (2808 nucleotides) under Sphingobium sp. TCM1. Its description in RNAcentral is "bacterial LSU rRNA". It matches the Rfam family "Bacterial large subunit ribosomal RNA". Lineage: Bacteria; Pseudomonadati; Pseudomonadota; Alphaproteobacteria; Sphingomonadales; Sphingobiaceae. The record is from RNAcentral.
GUGGACUCUCAAGCGUGAGGUAAGGGCAUCUGGUGAAUGCCUUGGCAUGUACAGGCGAUGAAGGACGUGGCACGCUGCGAUAAGCGUGGGGGAGCUGUGAGCAAGCUUUGAUCCCGCGAUUUCCGAAUGGGACAACCCACCUUCACCAUUUAAGACUGCGCCAGCUUCUGCUGGAUCAGUGUUAAAUGGGAGAGGUAUCACUAAGCUGAAUAAAAUAGGCUUUGGUGAGGCGAACCCGGAGAACUGAAACAUCUCAGUACCCGGAGGAAAAGACAUCAACCGAGAUUCCGUUAGUAGUGGCGAGCGAACGCGGACCAGGCCAGUGCCUGGUGUUUAGUUAACAGAAGCCUCUGGAAAGUGGCGCCAUAGCGGGUGACAGCCCCGUAUGUGAAAGCGAAACAUCAGGACUUGAGUAGGGCGGAGCACGUGAAACUCUGUCUGAACAUGGGGGGACCACCCUCCAAGCCUAAAUACUCGUACAUGACCGAUAGCGAACCAGUACCGUGAGGGAAAGGUGAAAAGCACCCCGAUGAGGGGAGUGAAACAGUACCUGAAACCGGAUGCCUACAAGCAGUGGGAGGGUCCUUGAGACCUGACCGCGUACCUCUUGCAUAAUGGGUCUGUGACUUAGUGUAUCAUGCAAGCUUAAGCCGUUAGGUGUAGGCGCAGCGAAAGCGAGUCUGAAUAGGGCGACCAUGAGUAUGAUGCAUUAGACCCGAAACCCGGCGAUCUAGGCAUGACCAGGUUGAAGGUGCGGUAACACGCACUGGAGGACCGAACCGUUUAAUGUUGAAAAAUUAUCGGAUGAGUUGUGUUUAGGGGUGAAAGGCCAAUCAAGCCGGGAAAUAGCUGGUUCUCCGCGAAAUCUAUUGAGGUAGAGCGUCGGAUGAUUGCCGUUGGGGGUAGAGCACUGGAUGGUUGCGGGGGUCGCGAGAUCUACCAAUACUAACCAAACUCCGAAUACCAACGAGUCUAGUCCGGCAGACAGACGGCGGGUGCUAAGGUCCGUCGUCAAAAGGGAAACAGCCCUAACCUACAGCUAAGGUCCCCAAGUCACGUCUAAGUGGGAAAGCAUGUGGGAUUUCCAAAACAACCAGGAGGUUGGCUUAGAAGCAGCCAUCCUUUAAAGAAAGCGUAACAGCUCACUGGUCUAAAUAAGAGAUCCUGCGGCGAAGAUGUAACGGGGCUCAAGACGUGCACCGAAGCUUAGGGUUCAGUCUUUUGACUGAGCGGUAGCGGAGCGUUCCGUAGGCCGUUGAAGCGGGAGGGUAACCGACCGUGGAGGUAUCGGAAGUGCGAAUGCAGACAUGAGUAGCGAUUAACAGUGUGAGAUGCACUGUCGCCGAAAUUCCAAGGGUUCCUGCUUAAAGCUAAUCUGAGCAGGGUAAGCCGGCCCCUAAGACGAGCCCGAAGGGGGUAGUCGAUGGGAACCACGUUAAUAUUCGUGGGCCUGGUGGUGUGUGACGGAUGGCGUAACUUGUUCGGCCUUAUUGGAUUGGUCCGGGCAGGGAAGUUGUCCCAGGAAAUAGCCCCACCGUAUAGACCGUACCCUAAACCGACACAGGUGGAAUGGUAGAGUAUACCAAGGCGUUUGAGAGAAGUAUCCUGAAGGAACUCGGCAAAUUGCCUCCGUACCUUCGGAAGAAGGAGGCCCCACAUUAAGGCAACUUUUUGUGGGGGGCACAGGCCAGGGGGUAGCGACUGUUUAGCAAAAACACAGGGCUCUGCUAAGUCGGCUUCAAGACGACGUAUAGGGCCUGACGCCUGCCCGGUGCCUGAAGGUUAAGAGGAGGAGUGCAAGCUCUGAAUUGAAGCCCAGGUAAACGGCGGCCGUAACUAUAACGGUCCUAAGGUAGCGAAAUUCCUUGUCGGGUAAGUUCCGACCUGCACGAAUGGCGUAACGACUUCCCCACUGUCUCCAGGAUAUGCUCAGCGAAAUUGAAUUCUCCGUGAAGAUGCGGAGUACCCGCGGUUAGACGGAAAGACCCCGUGCACCUUUACUGCAGCUUCAGAGUGGCAUUAGGAAAGAACUGUGUAGCAUAGGUGGGAGGCUUUGAAGCGAUGACGCCAGUUGUCGUGGAGCCAUAGGUGAAAUACCACCCUGUUGUUUUCUGAUGUCUAACCUCGCACCGUUAUCCGGUGCAGGGACCCUCUGUGGCGGGUAGUUUGACUGGGGCGGUCGCCUCCUAAAGAGUAACGGAGGCGCGCGAUGGUGGGCUCAGGACGGUUGGAAACCGUCUGUUAGAGUGCAAUGGCAUAAGCCCGCCUGACUGCGAGACUGACAAGUCGAGCAGAGACGAAAGUCGGUCAUAGUGAUCCGGUGGUCCCUCGUGGAAGGGCCAUCGCUCAACGGAUAAAAGGUACGCCGGGGAUAACAGGCUGAUGAUUCCCAAGAGCUCAUAUCGACGGAAUCGUUUGGCACCUCGAUGUCGGCUCAUCACAUCCUGGGGCUGGAGCAGGUCCCAAGGGUUUGGCUGUUCGCCAAUUAAAGUGGUACGUGAGCUGGGUUCAGAACGUCGCGAGACAGUUUGGUCCCUAUCUGCCGUGGGCGUCGAAAUUUGAGAGGAGUUGACCCUAGUACGAGAGGACCGGGUUGAACAUACCUCUGGUGUACCAGUCGUCCUGCCAAGGGCGCAGCUGGGUAGCUAUGUAUGGACGGGAUAACCGCUGAAAGCAUCUAAGCGGGAAGCCUCCCUCAAGAUAAGAUUUCAUCGAGCCGUCGUAGACCACGACGUUGAUAGGUCGGAUGUGGAAGUGCGGUAACGCAUGGAGCUAACCGAUCCUAAUUGCUCUGUUCGCGCUUAAACG